RNAcentral lists this ribosomal RNA (1000 nucleotides) under Bacillus licheniformis. Its description in RNAcentral is "bacterial SSU rRNA". It matches the Rfam family "Bacterial small subunit ribosomal RNA", at positions 33 to 1009 of the family's 1533-position model. The record is from RNAcentral. Lineage: Bacteria; Bacillati; Bacillota; Bacilli; Caryophanales; Bacillaceae.
GUGCCAUGCGGGUGCUAUACAUGCAAGUCGAGCGGACAGAUGGGAGCUUGCUCCCUGAUGUUAGCGGCGGACGGGUGAGUAACACGUGGGUAACCUGCCUGUAAGACUGGGAUAACUCCGGGAAACCGGGGCUAAUACCGGAUGCUUGAUUGAACCGCAUGGUUCAAUUAUAAAAGGUGGCUUUUAGCUACCACUUACAGAUGGACCCGCGGCGCAUUAGCUAGUUGGUGAGGUAACGGCUCACCAAGGCAACGAUGCGUAGCCGACCUGAGAGGGUGAUCGGCCACACUGGGACUGAGACACGGCCCAGACUCCUACGGGAGGCAGCAGUAGGGAAUCUUCCGCAAUGGACGAAAGUCUGACGGAGCAACGCCGCGUGAGUGAUGAAGGUUUUCGGAUCGUAAAACUCUGUUGUUAGGGAAGAACAAGUACCGUUCGAAUAGGGCGGUACCUUGACGGUACCUAACCAGAAAGCCACGGCUAACUACGUGCCAGCAGCCGCGGUAAUACGUAGGUGGCAAGCGUUGUCCGGAAUUAUUGGGCGUAAAGCGCGCGCAGGCGGUUUCUUAAGUCUGAUGUGAAAGCCCCCGGCUCAACCGGGGAGGGUCAUUGGAAACUGGGGAACUUGAGUGCAGAAGAGGAGAGUGGAAUUCCACGUGUAGCGGUGAAAUGCGUAGAGAUGUGGAGGAACACCAGUGGCGAAGGCGACUCUCUGGUCUGUAACUGACGCUGAGGCGCGAAAGCGUGGGGAGCGAACAGGAUAACAUACCCUGCUAGUCCUCCCCGCAAACUAUGAGUGCUAAGUGUGAAAGGGUGCCUCCCCUUCAGUGCUGCAGCAACCGCAUUAAUCACUCCCCCCGGCUGAGUACAGCCGGGGGACUGCAAGCCCAAAUGAAAUGAACUGGCGGCCCGCACCACCCGACGCAGCAUUUUUUUGUAAUUUAAAUUCCCCCACCAAGAACAUUAACCCGGGCGUGGUAGUCCCCUUUUAACCCCAGGG